RNAcentral lists this ribosomal RNA (497 nucleotides) under uncultured bacterium. RNAcentral describes it as "partial 16S ribosomal RNA". It matches the Rfam family "Bacterial small subunit ribosomal RNA", at positions 28 to 507 of the family's 1533-position model. The record is from RNAcentral.
GAUGAACGCUGGCGGCGUGCCUAAUACAUGCAAGUCGAGCGAACAGAUGAGGAGCUUGCUCCUCUGACGUUAGCGGCGGACGGGUGAGUAACACGUGGAUAACCUACCUAUAAGACUGGGAUAACUUCGGGAAACCGGAGCAAAUACCGGAUAAUAUAUUGAACCGCAUGGUUCAAUAGUGAAAGACGGUUUUGCUGUCACUUAUAGAUGGAUCCGCGCCGCAUUAGCUAGUUGGUAAGGUAACGGCUUACCAAGGCAACGAUGCGUAGCCGACCUGAGAGGGUGAUCGGCCACACUGGAACUGAGACACGGUCCAGACUCCUACGGGAGGCAGCAGUAGGGAAUCUGCCGCAAUGGGCGAAAGCCUGACGGAGCAACGCCGCGUGAGUGAUGAAGGUCUUCGGAUCGUAAAACUCUGUUAUUAGGGAAGAACAAAUGUGUAAGUAACUAUGCACGUCUUGACGGUACCUAAUCAGAAAGCCACGGCUAACUACGUG